Molecule: long non-coding RNA, 1130 nt
Organism: Vicia villosa (hairy vetch)
Lineage: Eukaryota; Viridiplantae; Streptophyta; Magnoliopsida; Fabales; Fabaceae
Exons: 4
Source: RefSeq, a predicted model, not a curated record
UGAAAAAAAUAUAUCUGGAACCCUUCUUCUUCCUCCAUCAUCAUUCAACAUCGUGAUAUUCAUUCCCACUUGCUUUAUCUCUCUCAACAGCUUUUCAAUCUGACGAGCUUCUCCUUCUUCUCCAUCACUGUUCAAUUAUGCUUCUUUCUGCUUCAUUGCACUGCGUUUAACGCAAAAGCGAAGGAUGCGAUAGGAAAAUCUGAUGCUAAUGUAAAAUAUGUGUUUGUCGUUCCGGUUAGAGCUUUCUCUGGCCUCUGUUUGUGUUGUAAAUUCCGUGAUUAUGUUAUUGGAUCUUGAUUCCUUGAUUGCGUAAACCCUAAUACCAUAAUUCUCGCUUUGAAAGGUAAACAUUUUAAGCCCCUGAUCUCGCGAAUUCGUCGGUGUUUGUCGGCUAAAAUAUUAGAUCUGGGUGGCGUCGGAGAUUGGUUGAAAUCAUUCAAGAUUUCCGUCUUCUUUAACCACAAUUUAAUCACCUCUGAUUUCGUUUUUCAGGUUAACAAUCAAUUCACGGUUUAAUCAUCUAUGUUAUUUUCUCAGAUCUACACACUGAAUAUGGCAUCAAAUCCCUCAAUGAUUUCCUCUCUGGAAAAACUUAUAUCUCUGGGGAUCAAUUGACAAAGGAUGAUAUUAAGGUUUAUGCUACUGUUACUGAGAAGUCAAGUGGGUAUUUUCCCAAUGAUUUUAAUUGGUAUGAUGUUGUUCCUUCAAGCCUUGCUGUUAUGUAUGUUUUAUUUUGUUGAUUAAUUAUUAGUUUUGGUUUUUGUGAUUGGAACUUCAAUUUGAUUUUGAUUUUUAUUUGGUGCUUGGGUUUACUUUUUGAAUUUUGAUUGUGUGGAUAGUUUCCCUGGGAAAGCUCAAGGUGUGAAGUUUACAGAAUAUGCCAGGUAUUCAAAGUAGACACAAGGAAGGAAGCACGAAGACUUGGAUCCAUCUAUGUUUGAGGAAUAACAACUUUACUUUCAAGACGAAGGGAGGAUGAGAAUACACCUGAAAGGGUUGGUAAGAAUCAUAUUUUGAAGCAUUUGGUAUACUGCAGUCAGUUGUCAAAAACAUUCAUCUCUACAAACAGGUUUUAUUUAUGUGAAUUUCUUGAAGCUUUUGAUUGUUAUGGAACAAUUCCCUAUCCAUCA